Molecule: ribosomal RNA, 496 nt
Filed under: uncultured bacterium
Lineage: Bacteria
Description: partial 16S ribosomal RNA
Rfam family: Bacterial small subunit ribosomal RNA
Source: RNAcentral
GAUGAACGCUGGCGGCGUGCCUAAUACAUGCAAGUCGAGCGAACGGACGAGAAGCUUGCUUCUCUGAUGUUAGCGGCGGACGGGUGAGUAACACGUGGAUAACCUACCUAUAAGACUGGGAUAACUUCGGGAAACCGUAGCUAAUACCGGAUAAUAUUUUGAACCGCAUGGUUCAAAAGUGAAAGACGGUCUUGCUGUCACUUAUAGAUGGACCCGCGCUGCAUUAGCUAGUUGGUAAGGUAACGGCUUACCAAGGCAACGAUGCAUGCCCGACCUGGGGGGGGGACCGCCCCCACGGAACCUGGACACCGGCCCAGCCCCUCAGGGGGGGCCGCGGUGGGGAUUUUUGCCAAAGGGGGAAAACCUUGCCCAACCAACCCCGGUGGGGUAAAGAGGUCUUUCGGUUGUAAAACCCUUUUUAUUGGGGAAAAAAAUAUUUGUAAGAAACUUUGCCCUUUUGACGGUUACCAAAUAAAAAGCCCCCGCUAACUUCGUG